UUCACAAGCACCCUUUAAUUAUCUAUAUAAGGAUGUGUGCUCACCAAUUUACGAACAUCAAUUAGCUGCACAGUGCCAUUGUAGGUUUGCCUUCGGCAAUUGGAAAAUACUAUAAGGUAAUUUCUUCUUUUCUUCUUUUCUUGUGCUUUCUUCUUUGUUUUACUUUUGUUGUCUCUUUCUUUCCUUUUAGAAGUAAUUUUGUCAAACUACAAAGUCCUUUAUAAGUUCGAGACAAAGGCCUUAAAAUUUUUGUGAUGAAGAUAUUUAAAAUUUGCAGGGAAGACAAAUAAAAUUUGCGGCAAUGAUCUAUAAAAGUUCGUGCAAAGAUCCUUAAAAGCUCGUGGUCAAGAUCUUUAAAAGUUCAAAUGUAAAGACCUUUAAAAGCUCGCAAUGAAGACCUUUAAAAGUUCGCGACGAAUACCUUUAAAAUUUACGGGAAAGACCCAUAAAAGUUCGCGCGAAGAUCCUUAAAAGCUCUUGGUCAAGACCUCUAAAAGUUCACAGUGAAGACCUUUAAAAUUUAUAAUGAAGACUCUUAAAAAUUCAUGGUAGAAAUAUUUAAAAGUCGGCGGUGGGGAUCGUUUAAAGUUCGUCAUGAGCACCGCUAAAAGUUCGAAAUAUACGCCUUUUAAAAGUUCGAAACGAAAACCUAAAAGAAAAUCGGAUGCCUUUAAAAGUUCGAGACGAACACCUUUAAAAGUUCGCAACGAAAACCGUUAAAAAAUUCGGAUACCUUUAAAAGUUCGAGACGAAUACCUUUAAAAGUUCGAGACGAAUACCUUUAAAAGUUCGCAACGAAAAUCGGUUAUAAAAAAGUCCGACACAGACAUCCCUUUUUAUUUACGUGAGACGAUUUUUUUUCCUUUUUCUUUUACUUAUCUAUGCUCUCUUUCAAGAUUGUGAUUGUUACUCUUUCCUUUUGAUUUAGGUACUAACUAAUUUUUUUUUAUACAGCUUGAACAUGGUUUACUUCAGAGACUCAACAUCCUCUUCCUCCACGUUGUCACACCUCCUUUUUGCGCGCUCGCCCCGAAGGGUAAAAUGCGCGAGGGAGUUUUUCCAAUUUAAGUGACAAUAUUCGAAAUGAGAUUUAUUUAUUUAAUUCAGAGUCGUCACUUGGGAAAGGUUUGGCUUUUGGUGUUCCAAGUCACCGGUUUAUCUUGAAUCCCAAAUCGAGGAAAAUAUUCGACUUUCCAAAUGAAGUCUGCGAACCAGAAAUUCUAAGUAAGGAAUUCUGUUGACCCGAGGGAAGGUUGUUAGGUACCCUCGAAUCCCGUGGUUCUAGCACGGUCGCUUAAAUUGUUAUAUUGGCUAAAUAUCUGAUUUAAUACAUGUUAUUACUUAUGUGCUUUAUUAAGUUUAAGCCGCUUUUAUUAUUAUUUUUUAUAGAAUUGCAACGUCGUGAAAAUGCAUCUCGAACCACGUCACAAUCAAUUGCACCCGUGGUUGUUAAUACGUUCCGACUCCGUUGAGAUUUGGAUUUGGGUCACAUAAAUGCGCACCCGAAUUUAAGAAUGUAAUU
RNAcentral lists this long non-coding RNA (1522 nucleotides) under Nicotiana tabacum (common tobacco). RNAcentral's name for it is "long non-coding RNA (NTAB_LNC010223)". Lineage: Eukaryota; Viridiplantae; Streptophyta; Magnoliopsida; Solanales; Solanaceae. The record is from RNAcentral.